UACAGGGGGGGCAAGCGUUGUUCGGAAUUACUGGGCGUAAAGGGCUCGUAGGUGGCCAACUAAGUCAGACGUGAAAUCCCUCAGCUUAACUGGGGAACUGCGUCUGAUACUGGAUGGCUUGAGUUUGGGAGAGGGAUGCGGAACUCCUGGUGUAGCGGUGAAAUGCGCAGAUAUCAGGAAGAACACCGGUGGCGAAGGCGGGUCUCUGGGCCGAUACUGACGCUGAGGAGCGAAAGCGUGGGGAGCGAACAGG
This 253-nucleotide ribosomal RNA is filed under the name uncultured bacterium. RNAcentral's name for it is "partial 16S ribosomal RNA". It matches the Rfam family "Bacterial small subunit ribosomal RNA", at positions 524 to 776 of the family's 1533-position model. The record is from RNAcentral.